UUUCAGAUACACUCUGGAUGUUGACAGAAUUGGUUCCUCUUGGUUGUAGGACGGAGGGUUCAGCUUUUUGCUAGCUUUGGCUAGAGGUUGCCCUCAACUACUGAAGGUUGCCCACAGUUCCUUUCCAUAUGGGCUUUCCCAACAUGGCUGCUUACUUCACUAAGUCAGCAAGGAGAGGCUCUAAAGCCAAUCUGCCAGCAAGACUGAAUCUUACAUAAGGGAACAGAAUCGAGGAAGUGACAUCAUUAUCAUCCUUGCCAUAUCCUGUCCUUUAGAAGCAAGUCGCAGUUCUGACCUACCCUCAGGGUACACCCUCCAGUCUAUCCGUCACAAGGUCGUUUGUUACACAGGAGAAGUUAACUGAUACAACCAAUUGUAUAUUCUUCGUUGUGGGUCCUUCUAGUUGUGGCAUGUGGGACACCGCCUCAGCGUGGUUUGAUGAGCAGCGCCAUGUCCGCACCCAGGAUUCAAACCAACGAAACACUGGGCUGCCUGCAGCGGAGCACCCGAACUUAACCACUCGGCCACGGGGCCAGCCCCAACAGUAGUAUUUUUGAUGGUAUUGCUACGUGACUCUCUCCUUUGCUGGUUUUGAUGAAGCAUGCAGCCAUUUAUGAGAGGCCAAGAAACCAAGGGCAGCCUCCAGCCAAGAACCAGCUGAGGGUGGCCCCUAGCUGACAAUCAGCAAGACGUUGAGGCCACCCGCCCUACAACACCAAGGAACUGAAUUCUACUAACAACUGCACGAAUUUGAAAGUGGGUUGUUCCCCAGUUGAACCUUGAGAUGAGACCAUCAGGCCAACCAACAAUCUCAUUGAAGUCACAUGAAAUCUGGAAGCAGAAGAUCUGACUAAACUGUGCCCACACACCUAACCACAGAAACUGUGUAUUAAUAAAUGUGUGUUGUUUUAAACCAACGUCUUUGUGGCAAUAUUGCUACCCAACAAUAAAUAACUAAUAAACAGUCCAAGAAUCAACUCACGAAUUUCUU
This 991-nucleotide long non-coding RNA is filed under the name Equus caballus (horse). Its description in RNAcentral is "lncRNA (ENSECAG00000055252.1)". Lineage: Eukaryota; Metazoa; Chordata; Mammalia; Perissodactyla; Equidae. The record is from RNAcentral.